Molecule: ribosomal RNA, 253 nt
Filed under: uncultured bacterium
Lineage: Bacteria
Description: partial 16S ribosomal RNA
Rfam family: Bacterial small subunit ribosomal RNA
Source: RNAcentral
UACGAAGGGUGCAAGCGUUACUCGGAAUUACUGGGCGUAAAGCGUGCGUAGGUGGUGAGUUAAGUCUGUCGUGAAAGCCCCGGGCUCAACCUGGGAAUGGCGAUGGAUACUGGCUCGCUAGAGUGCGGUAGAGGAGAGUGGAAUUCCCGGUGUAGCAGUGAAAUGCGUAGAUAUCAGUCGGAACACCGGUGGCGAAGGCGGCUUCUUGGGCCGUUCCUGACGCUGAGGCGCGAAAGCUGGGGGAGCGAACGGG